RNAcentral lists this ribosomal RNA (253 nucleotides) under uncultured bacterium. Its description in RNAcentral is "partial 16S ribosomal RNA". It matches the Rfam family "Bacterial small subunit ribosomal RNA", at positions 524 to 776 of the family's 1533-position model. The record is from RNAcentral.
UACAGAGGGGGCAAGCGUUGUUCGGAAUUACUGGGCGUAAAGGGCGCGUAGGCGGCCUGCUAAGUCGAACGUGAAAUCCCUGGGCUCAACCCAGGAACUGCGUCCGGUACUGGUUGGCUUGAAUCCGGGAGAGGGAUGUGGAAUUCCAGGUGUAGCGGUGAAAUGCGUAGAUAUCUGGAGGAACACCGGUGGCGAAGGCGGCAUCCUGGACCGGCAUUGACGCUGAGGAGCGAAAGCCAGGGGAGCAAACGGG